CAAAUCAGGUAGGAUACUACCCGCUGAACUUAAGCAUAUCAAUAAGCGGAGGA
This 53-nucleotide ribosomal RNA is filed under the name Cryptococcus sp. VITGBN2. Its description in RNAcentral is "partial 28S ribosomal RNA". The record is from RNAcentral. Lineage: Eukaryota; Fungi; Basidiomycota; Tremellomycetes; Tremellales; Cryptococcaceae.